Lactobacillus selangorensis is the source of this 115-nucleotide regulatory RNA element. It matches the Rfam family "23S methyl RNA motif". Lineage: Bacteria; Bacillati; Bacillota; Bacilli; Lactobacillales; Lactobacillaceae. The record is from Rfam.
UUUUCAUUCUUUUUUAUCAGAUUGAUUAGGUCUGUUUCUGAUAAAAGACGAUGAUAGGAAACCUUCUUAACGUACGAUCUCGCCGUGAAUUGACACCGAGGCCGUGCGUUUUUUU